Molecule: ribosomal RNA, 554 nt
Filed under: Trichoderma harzianum
Lineage: Eukaryota; Fungi; Ascomycota; Sordariomycetes; Hypocreales; Hypocreaceae
Description: eukaryotic LSU rRNA
Rfam family: 5.8S ribosomal RNA (bases 165-318)
Source: RNAcentral
CCAAACUGUUGCCUCGGCGGGAUCUCUGCCCCGGGUGCGUCGCAGCCCCGGACCAAGGCGCCCGCCGGAGGACCAACCAAAACUCUUUUUGUAUACCCCCUCGCGGGUUUUUUAUAAUCUGAGCCUUCUCGGCGCCUCUCGUAGGCGUUUCGAAAAUGAAUCAAAACUUUCAACAACGGAUCUCUUGGUUCUGGCAUCGAUGAAGAACGCAGCGAAAUGCGAUAAGUAAUGUGAAUUGCAGAAUUCAGUGAAUCAUCGAAUCUUUGAACGCACAUUGCGCCCGCCAGUAUUCUGGCGGGCAUGCCUGUCCGAGCGUCAUUUCAACCCUCGAACCCCUCCGGGGGGUCGGCGUUGGGGAUCGGCCCUCCCUUAGCGGGUGGCCGUCUCCGAAAUACAGUGGCGGUCUCGCCGCAGCCUCUCCUGCGCAGUAGUUUGCACACUCGCAUCGGGAGCGCGGCGCGUCCACAGCCGUUAAACACCCAACUUCUGAAAUGUUGACCUCGGAUCAGGUAGGAAUACCCGCUGAACUUAAGCAUAUCAAUAAGCGGGAGGAA